RNAcentral lists this non-coding RNA (29 nucleotides) under Homo sapiens (human). The record is from RNAcentral. Lineage: Eukaryota; Metazoa; Chordata; Mammalia; Primates; Hominidae.
CCCCCCUCGCAAGGCAUGUGAUGCAGGUG